GCCUGGGUGGCGGAACUGGUAGACGCAAGGGACUUAAAAUCCCUCGGUCCUUGUGACUGUACGAGUUCGAUUCUCGUCCCGGGCACCA
Molecule: transfer RNA, 88 nt
Filed under: Pseudomonadota bacterium
Lineage: Bacteria; Pseudomonadati; Pseudomonadota
Description: Proteobacteria bacterium (groundwater metagenome) tRNA-Leu
Rfam family: tRNA
About the family: Transfer RNA (tRNA) molecules are approximately 80 nucleotides in length. Their secondary structure includes four short double-helical elements and three loops (D, anti-codon, and T loops).
Source: RNAcentral